CCUCCUCUGACAUCACAAAGCCCUUGUGAGGAGUUGCAGACUCUGCCCACAUAAGGCACUGGCUGGGGCUGGGGCUUCUCACACUGAGGAGAAGCUGUUGCUUGGUUGGCUGUAGAGUUGUUGACUCAGACAUUGGUUCACGUACACUUUGAUACUGUUGUUCUCCUAUAAACAGACACAGUUCAUCUGCUUCGACAUCCAAACACAUCUUGUCGUGGUCCCAUUCCCCACCUGUCACGGUGAUGAACAUGGAGGGAGAAUUUCCAUGGACCAGUCUCUCUGAUUUACCACCAGCAUGCAGAGAAAUGGGAUCCAGGCUGUCCAUCUCCACCAUUGUAGAUGCUAUAUGUUGCUUAGGCCACAUGGCUGAAGAAACCCUGGGACUCAUAGGAACAAAUAGGCUUAAUGAUGCCCUGACAAAAAACACUAUGUUCAACAAGAGAAAAAGUGGUGGUACCAUCCUUGGUGAAAUAUGGCAUGUUCCAAAGACCUAUUCAUUCAAGAGUCCUGCAGGUCCCCCCAGCCUCCCUCCUACCCUAAGGUGGGGAGGUAGUCAAGCUGCCUUGCCCACACUGCUGGCAUCUGAAGACAACAAAGGGCAAGAUGUGAAUGAAGAGAGAUGUAGCAAGAUCUCCUCUAGGUCCAGCUCUCCAGAUUUAUACAAGCUGCUGGAUCUCAGCUGGCCUGGGAAUUCUGCCCCACACUUUCAUGCUGUGCAGGCCUAUAACAUCAAUAACAAUGCUGAGGAGACAGAGAGUUCCACCUGUUCUGGUGACAGUGACACAUCUGAGGAUGAUCUCUCCUACAUGGAGGACACCACUUCUACCUCAGCCCCACAGGAUGAUGGUGUGGAGGCUGAGAUUGAGGAGACUGGCAACACCACCAUGCUCAGUCACACAUCCCUCAAUGCGUUGUUCUUCCUGGAAGACACCAGCUGUCAACAGAUCCCAGGACCUCAGGAUGAUGCUGAGGUUACCAACAGCUUCAGCACAUCUAGAGACCUGAAAGAAAUUGACCUACAGUCCAGUGAGAGAACACAUGAUGCUAUCGACUCUGUGGACUCUCCCCAGAAUGAGAACACUGAAUGUGAAAACAGCAUGGGAAUAAUCCUUGAAGAGUCCCCACCUAGCUUUAGCAAGGACCAGCCCCAGAAGGUAGCCACAGCCUCCAAGAAGAAGCAAAGAAGGGGCUGGAAAGGGGUAAGGAGGCAGAUUAGUCGCCUGACUUCCGGUUUAUUCUGUUGCCUCCUCACCCCAAAGACAGGAGACACAACCCCCAGGGCUGAAGAACAGGCCUGGGUCCAUGGUUCUUAAACCAUGGGUCUCAGUUCGGCCUGGUGUGGUCUACCCGCCACAGGAGGGAGCCAGGCCAGAAUUCCAUAAAGCUGUGUACCCCAAACUACGUUUUUAUGUAUCAGCCACCUCAAACAACCAGGGCACAAGCUGUCUACCACUCCUCUAAUUGCAGUCCUCCUUCCACUAGUUGCCCAUCGUGCUUCUUCUGUUUCAGAAGUCCAGGAGCUGGUGUCAUAUCUUUAUUCCAAUGAGUCUGCUGAAAACCACGUGUGUGGCUGGAAUCCAUGAAGAAUAGGAGGGUAAACCUUUGUCAGCUGCCUCUGUGGAACUGUCACAGAACAGCAGCUCUUAGCUUUGUGUGGGAGCCUUUCCCACAGUGACUCAGUACUGUGGACCCUAUGGCUCAUUUCUGCUUGAUGUGGACACAUCAGGACUAUAGAUGAAACUGGAGCAGUGGUGCACUCUCCAUAGUUGGAACAAGAUAUCCUAGGCCUGACAUGAAAAUUUGUUUACUUUAUUAAAUGCUCACUUGAUUUUUA
Peromyscus eremicus (cactus mouse) is the source of this 1834-nucleotide RNA transcript. RefSeq lists it as uncharacterized. Lineage: Eukaryota; Metazoa; Chordata; Mammalia; Rodentia; Cricetidae. The record is from RefSeq and is a predicted model, not a curated record. The transcript has 5 exons.